GCUUCUCGAACUAUAAUAAAUGAGAAGUCGUGCCUGCUCUAUGAUUUAACUAAUUUAAUGGCCGCGGUACCCUGACCGUGCGAAGGUAGCAUAAUCAUUUGUCUUUUAAUUGAAGACUGGAAUGAAUGGCUUGACGAGAAUUUAGCUGUCUCUUAUAUUCUACUAUAAAUUAAUUUUUGUGUGAAGAAGCACAAAUUAAUAAAAGGGACGAGAAGACCCUAUUGAGUUUUAAUUCUCAUAUUAGUAGCAUUUUAUAUUAACAUAUAAAUUAUACUGAUAUAAAUUUUAGUUGGGGCAACUGAGGAGUAACAAAAUAAUCUCCUUAUUAUACACCAAAAUGAUAAUUAGAUGAUCCUUUUAUAAAGAUUAAUAAAUAUAAUUACCAUAGGGAUAACAGCGUAAUCCCCCCUAAGAGUUCUAAUUGAAGGGGGGGGUUGCGACCUCGAUGUUGGAUUAAGGAAUCACAAGGGUGUAGAAGCUCUUAUGGUAAGUCUGUUCGACUUUUUAAACCUUACA
RNAcentral lists this ribosomal RNA (516 nucleotides) under Nucula profundorum. RNAcentral's name for it is "partial large subunit ribosomal RNA". It matches the Rfam family "Bacterial large subunit ribosomal RNA", at positions 1818 to 2600 of the family's 2925-position model. Lineage: Eukaryota; Metazoa; Mollusca; Bivalvia; Nuculida; Nuculidae. The record is from RNAcentral.